RNAcentral lists this ribosomal RNA (460 nucleotides) under uncultured bacterium. RNAcentral's name for it is "partial 16S ribosomal RNA". It matches the Rfam family "Bacterial small subunit ribosomal RNA", at positions 338 to 795 of the family's 1533-position model. The record is from RNAcentral.
CCUACGGGUGGCAGCAGUGAGGAAUAUUGGUCAAUGGACGAGAGUCUGAACCAGCCAAGUAGCGUGAAGGAUGACUGCCCUAUGGGUUGUAAACUUCUUUUAUAUGGGAAUAAAACGUUCCACGUGUGGGAUUUUGUAUGUACCAUACGAAUAAGGAUCGGCUAACUCCGUGCCAGCAGCCGCGGUAAUACGGAGGAUCCGAGCGUUAUCCGGAUUUAUUGGGUUUAAAGGGAGCGUAGGUGGAUUGUUAAGUCAGUUGUGAAAGUUUGCGGCUCAACCGUAAAAUUGCAGUUGAAACUGGCAGUCUUGAGUACAGUAGAGGUGGGCGGAAUUCGUGGUGUAGCGGUGAAAUGCUUAGAUAUCACGAAGAACUCCGAUUGCGAAGGCAGUUCACUGGACUGCAACUGACACUGAGGCUCGAAAGUGUGGGUAUCAAACAGGAUUAGAUACCCCAGUAGUC